UCCUGAAUUGCGGGAAGGUCGACUAGG
RNAcentral lists this small RNA (27 nucleotides) under Bombyx mori (domestic silkworm). RNAcentral's name for it is "ovarian small RNA-27898". Lineage: Eukaryota; Metazoa; Arthropoda; Insecta; Lepidoptera; Bombycidae. The record is from RNAcentral.